AACGCGAAGAACCUUACCCAGACUUGACAUCCUGGUCGCAACUCUCAGAGAUGAGAGUGUUAUUUAGUUGGACCAGUGACAGGUGAUGCAUGGCCGUCGUCAGCUCGUGUCGUGAGAUGUCAGGUUAAGUCCUUUAACGAGCGCAACCCUCGUGAUUAGUUGGAUAUUUCUAGUCAGACUGCCUCGGCAACGGGGAGGAAGGAGGGGAUGACGCCAGGUCAGCAUGUCCCUUACGUCUGGGGCUACACACACGCUACAAUGGCCGGUACAACGGGAAGCCAAGUCGCAAGACGGAGCUAAACCCAUCAAAGCCGGUCUCAGUUCGGAUUGUAGGCUGAAACUCGCCUGCAUGAAGUCGGAAUCGCUAGUAACCGCGAGUCAGCACAUCGCGGUGAAUACGUUCCCGGGCCUUGUACACACCG
Molecule: ribosomal RNA, 422 nt
Filed under: uncultured bacterium
Lineage: Bacteria
Description: bacterial SSU rRNA
Rfam family: Bacterial small subunit ribosomal RNA
Source: RNAcentral